This 329-nucleotide ribosomal RNA is filed under the name uncultured eukaryote. RNAcentral's name for it is "partial 18S ribosomal RNA". It matches the Rfam family "Eukaryotic small subunit ribosomal RNA", at positions 1470 to 1796 of the family's 1831-position model. The record is from RNAcentral.
CCCUUAGAUGUCCUGGGCCGCACGCGCGCUACACUGAGUGUCUGAGAUACGAGUCUGCCUGGUCCGGCAAGGUCUAGGUAAUCGCUAAAAGACACAUCAUGCUUGGGAUAGAUUAUUGCAAAUAUUAAUCUUGAACGAGGAAUUCCUAGUAAGCGCAAGUCCACAGCUUGCGUUUAUUACGUCCCUGCCCUUUGUACACACCGCCCGUCGCUACUACUGAUUGGAUGUUUAAGCGAGGUUCUCGAACUGCUAGCGACUUAGCUUCGGUGAGGUCGCAGUGUGGGAAGUGAACCUAGCUUUGGUGUCUAGAGGAAGUAAAAGUCGUAACA